GAUGAACGCUGGCGGCGUGCCUAAUACAUGCAAGUCGAACGAAACUUCUUUAUCACCGAGUGCUUGCACUCACCGAUAAAGAGUUGAGUGGCGAACGGGUGAGUAACACGUGGGCAACCUGCCCAAAAGAGGGGGAUAACACUUGGAAACAGGUGCUAAUACCGCAUAACCAUAGUUACCGCAUGGUAACUAUGUAAAAGGUGGCUAUACUACCGCUUUUGGAUGGGCCCGCGGCGCAUUAGCUAGUUGGUAGGGUAAGGCUUACCAAGGCAAUGAUGCGUAGCCGAAUUGAGAGGUUGAUCGGCCACAUUGGGACUGAGACACGGCCCAAACUCCUACGGGAGGCAGCAGUAGGGAAUCUUCCACAAUGGGCGAAAGCCUGAUGGAGCAACGCCGCGUGGGUGAAGAAGGUCUUCGGAUCGUAAAACCCUGUUGUUAGAGAAGAAAGUGCGUGAGAGUAACUGUUCACGUUUCGACGGUAUCUAACCAGAAAGCCACUGCUAACUACGUG
Molecule: ribosomal RNA, 511 nt
Filed under: uncultured bacterium
Lineage: Bacteria
Description: partial 16S ribosomal RNA
Rfam family: Bacterial small subunit ribosomal RNA
Source: RNAcentral